This 1349-nucleotide ribosomal RNA is filed under the name Salmonella enterica. Its description in RNAcentral is "bacterial LSU rRNA". It matches the Rfam family "Bacterial large subunit ribosomal RNA", at positions 1 to 1378 of the family's 2925-position model. Lineage: Bacteria; Pseudomonadati; Pseudomonadota; Gammaproteobacteria; Enterobacterales; Enterobacteriaceae. The record is from RNAcentral.
GGGUUGUGAGGUUAAGCGACUAAGCGUACACGGUGGAUGCCCUGGCAGUCAGAGGCGAUGAAGGACGUGCUAAUCUGCGAUAAGCGCCGGUAAGGUGAUAUGAACCGUUAUAACCGGCGAUUUCCGAAUGGGGAAACCCAGUGUGACUCGUCACACUAUCAUUAACUGAAUCCAUAGGUUAAUGAGGCGAACCGGGGGAACUGAAACAUCUAAGUACCCCGAGGAAAAGAAAUCAACCGAGAUUCCCCCAGUAGCGGCGAGCGAACGGGGAGGAGCCCAGAGCCUGAAUCAGCAUGUGUGUUAGUGGAAGCGUCUGGAAAGGCGCGCGAUACAGGGUGACAGCCCCGUACACAAAAGCGCAUGUGCUGUGAGCUCGAUGAGUAGGGCGGGACACGUGGUAUCCUGUCUGAAUAUGGGGGGACCAUCCUCCAAGGCUAAAUACUCCUGACUGACCGAUAGUGAACCAGUACCGUGAGGGAAAGGCGAAAAGAACCCCGGCGAGGGGAGUGAAAAAGAACCUGAAACCGUGUACGUACAAGCAGUGGGAGCACAGGUUUACCUGUGUGACUGCGUACCUUUUGUAUAAUGGGUCAGCGACUUAUAUUCUGUAGCAAGGUUAACCGAAUAGGGGAGCCGGAGGGAAACCGAGUCUUAAUUGGGCGUUAAGUUGCAGGGUAUAGACCCGAAACCCGGUGAUCUAGCCAUGGGCAGGUUGAAGGUUGGGUAACACUAACUGGAGGACCGAACCGACUAAUGUUGAAAAAUUAGCGGAUGACCUGUGGCUGGGGGUGAAAGGCCAAUCAAACCGGGAGAUAGCUGGUUCUCCCCGAAAGCUAUUUAGGUAGCGCCUCGUGAAUUCAUCUCCGGGGGUAGAGCACUGUUUCGGCUAGGGGGCCAUCCCGGCUUACCAACCCGAUGCAAACUGCGAAUACCGGAGAAUGUUAUCACGGGAGACACACGGCGGGUGCUAACGUCCGUCGUGAAGAGGGAAACAACCCAGACCGCCAGCUAAGGUCCCAAAGUCAUGGUUAAGUGGGAAACGAUGUGGGAAGGCCCAGACAGCCAGGAUGUUGGCUUAGAAGCAGCCAUCAUUUAAAGAAAGCGUAAUAGCUCACUGGUCGAGUCGGCCUGCGCGGAAGAUGUAACGGGGCUAAACCAUGCACCGAAGCUGCGGCAGCGACGCUGAUGCGUUGUUGGGUAGGGGAGCGUUCUGUAAGCCUGUGAAGGUGGCCUGUGAGGGUUGCUGGAGGUAUCAGAAGUGCGAAUGCUGACAUAAGUAACGAUAAAGCGGGUGAAAAGCCCGCUCGCCGGAAGACCAAGGGUUCCUGUCCAACGUUAAUCGGGGCAGG